RNAcentral lists this ribosomal RNA (253 nucleotides) under uncultured bacterium. RNAcentral describes it as "partial 16S ribosomal RNA". It matches the Rfam family "Bacterial small subunit ribosomal RNA", at positions 524 to 776 of the family's 1533-position model. The record is from RNAcentral.
UACGGAGGGGGCUAGCGUUGUUCGGAAUUACUGGGCGUAAAGCGCACGUAGGCGGCUUUGUAAGUUAGAGGUGAAAGCCCGGAGCUCAACUCCGGAACUGCCUUUAAGACUGCAUCGCUAGAAUUGUGGAGAGGUGAGUGGAAUUCCGAGUGUAGAGGUGAAAUUCGUAGAUAUUCGGAAGAACACCAGUGGCGAAGGCGACUUACUGGACACAUAUUGACGCUGAGGUGCGAAAGCGUGGGGAGCAAACAGG